RNAcentral lists this ribosomal RNA (442 nucleotides) under uncultured bacterium. Its description in RNAcentral is "partial 16S ribosomal RNA". It matches the Rfam family "Bacterial small subunit ribosomal RNA", at positions 338 to 795 of the family's 1533-position model. The record is from RNAcentral.
CCUACGGGUGGCAGCAGUGGGGAAUAUUGCACAAUGGGGGGAACCCUGAUGCAGCGACGCCGCGUGAGUGAAGAAGUAUUUCGGUAUGUAAAGCUCUAUCAGCAGGAACGAGACAAGACGGUACCUGACUAAGAAGCCCCGGCUAACUACGUGCCAGCAGCCGCGGUAAUACGUAGGGGGCAAGCGUUAUCCGGAAUCACUGGGUGGAAAGGGAGCGUAGACGGCUGAGCAAGCCUGAAGUGAAAGGCGGGGGCACAACCCCCGGACUGCUUUGGGAACUGUACGGCUGGAGUGCAGGAGAGGUAAGUGGAAUUCCUAGUGUAGCGGUGAAAUGCGUAGAUAUUAGGAGGAACACCAGUGGCGAAGGCGGCUUACUGGACUGUAACUGACGUUGAGGCUCGAAAGCGUGGGGAGCAAACAGGAUUAGAUACCCCUAGUAGUC